UCUCCAAUGAGGGGCUGCUAUCUUUCUUCUGGGAUUCUCACACUGUUUGAAUAUAAAUCUGUACUAGUCAGGGAUAUUGCUGCCAUCACAUGGAUAUGAUCUCACUGAGAAUGAAACUAACGUAGAAGAAAGCAAAGAUAAGAGAGGGGAGAGCAAGCGCACAAGAGGGAAGUACAUGACUUUGAACUGAUUCACCUUAGGGACAUGAUUAGCUUUCCAAAAUGGGCUGCCUUCUCAGAGCAUCAACAGAGGAGUAUCAGAGAAAACAUGGAGAGUACAAGAGAGGAGACUGCAAAGGACUCAGUGCAAAACUUACAGGGAAAAUGGAAUAUAUGUGACCAAUUUAUUCCAGAGCUGACAGAUUUGGAUGAAGUGGCUUGACCCCUUUUCCUGCUAUCCUUUAGAAAGCCAACUUCCUUGUGAGUUCCAUUCCAAGGCCUGGAGUCAAAUAAGCAAAGGCCACUUAGCACUAUUUACAGAAUGGAUAGAUAGUAAAUAUCAAUGUGACUAUAUCUUGGAAUCC
RNAcentral lists this long non-coding RNA (523 nucleotides) under Homo sapiens (human). RNAcentral's name for it is "HSALNT0364383". The record is from RNAcentral. Lineage: Eukaryota; Metazoa; Chordata; Mammalia; Primates; Hominidae.